AGGCAGCAGUGGGGGAUAUUGCACAAUGGAGGAAACUCUGAUGCAGCGACGCCGCGUGAGGAGAAGGUUUUCGGAUUGUAAACCUCUGUCUUCGGUGACGUAAAAUGACGGUAGCCGAGGAGGAAGCCACGGCUAACUACGUGCC
RNAcentral lists this ribosomal RNA (145 nucleotides) under uncultured bacterium. Its description in RNAcentral is "partial 16S ribosomal RNA". It matches the Rfam family "Bacterial small subunit ribosomal RNA", at positions 346 to 509 of the family's 1533-position model. The record is from RNAcentral.